This 460-nucleotide ribosomal RNA is filed under the name uncultured Prevotella sp. RNAcentral describes it as "bacterial SSU rRNA". It matches the Rfam family "Bacterial small subunit ribosomal RNA", at positions 338 to 795 of the family's 1533-position model. Lineage: Bacteria; Pseudomonadati; Bacteroidota; Bacteroidia; Bacteroidales; Prevotellaceae. The record is from RNAcentral.
CCUACGGGGGGCUGCAGUGAGGAAUAUUGGUCAAUGGACGGAAGUCUGAACCAGCCAAGUAGCGUGCAGGAUGACGGCCCUAUGGGUUGUAAACUGCUUUUAUGUGGGAAUAAAGUGGCGCACGCGUGCGCCAUUGCAUGUACCUCAUGAAUAAGGACCGGCUAAUUCCGUGCCAGCAGCCGCGGUAAUACGGAAGGUCCGGGCGUUAUCCGGAUUUAUUGGGUUUAAAGGGAGUGUAGGCGGUCUGUUAAGCGUGUUGUGAAAUUUAGGUGCUCAACAUUUAACUUGCAGCGCGAACUGUCAGACUUGAGUACACGCAGCGCAGGCGGAAUUCAUGGUGUAGCGGUGAAAUGCUUAGAUAUCAUGAGGAACUCCGAUCGCGAAGGCAGCCUGCGGGAGUGUUACUGACGCUUAAGCUCGAAGGUGCGGGUAUCGAACAGGAUUAGAUACCCGGGUAGUC